Molecule: transfer RNA, 72 nt
Filed under: Dierogekko kaalaensis
Lineage: Eukaryota; Metazoa; Chordata; Lepidosauria; Squamata; Diplodactylidae
Description: tRNA-Tyr
Source: RNAcentral
GAUAGAGACAGGAUUUAAACCCAUGUUAACAGGACUACAGCCCGCCACAUAAGMURUCGAGCCACUCUACCU